This 265-nucleotide long non-coding RNA is filed under the name Vigna radiata. Its description in RNAcentral is "long non-coding RNA (VRAD_LNC017508)". The record is from RNAcentral. Lineage: Eukaryota; Viridiplantae; Streptophyta; Magnoliopsida; Fabales; Fabaceae.
GAUUGGAGAUGAAACGAAUUGGAUUGUUGUUGCCUUUGAAUUGGGUUGCGGAUGCUGCACAUUUGAAGAUGUUGCAAACGGCUAAUCUUUGUUGAGCUGGCUACUAUGCCGGAAUGGAAUUAUUUGGAAUAAUUAGAGAUAUACUGGGCCGCAUGAUUGGGCCAAAGAUCUACUACGCUGUUGGUGCUGAUUCUUUGCUGGAACGCUGUUGGGAUUGUUGUGUUGCAAAUAUGAUUGGGCUCCGCUAAUUGGAAGUAAAUUGGGC